GGUAUUAUAGUCAAUUAAUGAUAUUAGACUGCAAAUCUAAAGUUGUUGUAAAAACUAAGACCU
RNAcentral lists this transfer RNA (63 nucleotides) under Coeliccia cyanomelas. Its description in RNAcentral is "tRNA-Cys". It matches the Rfam family "tRNA". Rfam says of the family: Transfer RNA (tRNA) molecules are approximately 80 nucleotides in length. Lineage: Eukaryota; Metazoa; Arthropoda; Insecta; Odonata; Platycnemididae. The record is from RNAcentral.